GUGGCUGUAGCUCAAUCGGUAGAGCGCUUGGCUGUGGCCCAAGUGGUUACGCGUUCGAGUCGCGUCAGCCACC
This 73-nucleotide transfer RNA is filed under the name Candidatus Parcubacteria bacterium. Its description in RNAcentral is "tRNA-His". It matches the Rfam family "tRNA". From Rfam's summary of the family: Transfer RNA (tRNA) molecules are approximately 80 nucleotides in length. Their secondary structure includes four short double-helical elements and three loops (D, anti-codon, and T loops). Lineage: Bacteria; Candidatus Parcubacteria. The record is from RNAcentral.